CUACGGGGCGCUGCAGUAGGGAAUAUUGGACAAUGGGCGAAAGCCUGAUCCAGCAACACCGCGUGCACGAUGACGGCCUUCGGGUUGUAAAGUGCUUUUAGAGGAGAUGAGAAAGGACAGUAUCCUCUGAAUAAGCCUCGGCGAACUACGUGCCAGCAGCCGCGGUAAAACGUAGGAGGCAAGCGUUAUCCGGAUUUAUUGGGCGUAAAGCGCGUGCAGGCGGUCUAGCAAGUUGGAUGUGAAAGCUCCCGGCUCAACUGGGAGAGGUCGUUCAAUACUGUUAGACUAGAGAAUAGGAGAAGGAGGUGGAAUUCCGGGUGUAGUGGUGAAAUGCGUAGAUAUCCGGAGGAACACCAGCGGCGAAAGCGGCCUCCUGGACUAUUUCUGACGCUAAGACGCGAAAGCUAGGGUAGCAAACGGGAUUAGAUACCCCAGUAGUC
RNAcentral lists this ribosomal RNA (440 nucleotides) under uncultured bacterium. RNAcentral's name for it is "partial 16S ribosomal RNA". It matches the Rfam family "Bacterial small subunit ribosomal RNA", at positions 339 to 795 of the family's 1533-position model. The record is from RNAcentral.